Molecule: ribosomal RNA, 357 nt
Filed under: Triticum aestivum (bread wheat)
Lineage: Eukaryota; Viridiplantae; Streptophyta; Magnoliopsida; Poales; Poaceae
Description: partial small subunit ribosomal RNA
Source: RNAcentral
AUGGAGGCGGCGCCGCCGGCAAGCUGGUUGAGGUACGUGUCAGAUCCGUUGGUCCUUCAUGACUGUAGUUGUUCGUUCUCCUCACAAACCAUGUGUUUCUCCUUUCCUCCCUCAAUGUGCCCGGGAAUACAUCGUUGCUACCUAUAUUACUGGAUUGCAAGCUUUAAGAAGGAGAUUUUAAUAGGUUGGUCAUUCAUAUCUCUGGCCAUGUGUGAUGAAUUUUUUUUGUUAAUUGCUAAUGCUUUAUUUCAGAGAACCAAAUCUGCACCAUGCCUCCUCACCCUCUCAGGUUAUUGUUUCACCCCUUUUGAUAGUUUUUUAGCACAGAGGAACGAGGAAUGGAUACAUGAGGCAUAG